AUAAACCGCUGCUGGAGCUGGCUGC
This 25-nucleotide small RNA is filed under the name Escherichia coli. RNAcentral describes it as "RNA21_SPACER8". Lineage: Bacteria; Pseudomonadati; Pseudomonadota; Gammaproteobacteria; Enterobacterales; Enterobacteriaceae. The record is from RNAcentral.